RNAcentral lists this ribosomal RNA (414 nucleotides) under uncultured bacterium. Its description in RNAcentral is "bacterial SSU rRNA". It matches the Rfam family "Bacterial small subunit ribosomal RNA", at positions 199 to 610 of the family's 1533-position model. The record is from RNAcentral.
GGUCCAAGGCGUUUGCUGCCUGAAGAUGAGCUCGCAGUCUGAUUAGCUAGUAGGUGGGGUAAGGAGUCGCACCUAGGCGACGAUCAGUAAGCUGGUCUGAGAGGACGAUCAGCCAGCACUUGGGACUGAGACACGGCCCAGAACUCCUACGGGAGGCAGCAGUGGGGGAAUUUUUCCGCAAUGGGCGAAAGCCUGAACGGAGCAAUACCGCGUGAGGGAGGGAAGGUCUCUUGGGUUGUAAACCUCUUUACUCAGGGAAGAAUACAAUGACGGGUACUUGAUGGAAUAAGCAUCGGCUAACUCCGUGCCACCAGCCGCGGUAAUACGGGAGGAUGUCAAGCGUUAUCCGGAAUGAUUGGGCGUAAAGCGUCCGCAGGUGGGUAAUGAAAUGUCUGCUGUUAAAGAGUGAGGCUC